RNAcentral lists this ribosomal RNA (397 nucleotides) under uncultured bacterium. Its description in RNAcentral is "bacterial SSU rRNA". It matches the Rfam family "Bacterial small subunit ribosomal RNA", at positions 358 to 771 of the family's 1533-position model. The record is from RNAcentral.
GGAAUCUUGCGCAAUGGGCGAAAGCCUGACGCAGCAACGCCGCGUGCGGGAUGAAGGCCUUCGGGUUGUAAACCGCUUUCAGCAGGGACGAAAUUGACGGUACCUGCAGAAGAAGCCCCGGCCAACUACGUGCCAGCAGCCGCGGUAACACGUAGGGGGCAAGCGGUGUCCGGAUUUAUUGGGCGUAAAGAGCUCGGAGGCGGUUUCGUAAGUCGGGGGUGAAAACUCUAGGCUCAACCUAGAGACGCCACCCGAUACUGCGAUGACUAGAGUCCGGUAGGGGAGUGUGGAAUUCCUGGUGUAGCGGUGAAAUGCGCAGAUAUCAGGAGGAACACCAACGGCGAAGGCAGCACUCUGGGCCGGAACUGACGCUGAGGAGCGAAAGCGUGGGUAGCGA